GGGUAGCAAUAACAGUAACAGUAACAGUAGCGGUACACAAAGUACCUCAUCAGAACAAAUUUGGAACAGUAACAGUAACAGUCAAAUACGGAGUACCUCUUCGGAACGAAUCCGGAACAGUCAUAGUAGUCGACAUAUAUAGUGUCUCAUCGACACACAGUCAGAAUAUCCCUGAACACUUCCAAUCCUAUGACAUGCCAACUAUAUCCGACUAGCCUGAUACAAUUAAUAGGGUAUUCAAUAAACUUUCAAAUUUUCAAUUUUAUUUGUAAUUUAAUUUCAAUUCAAUUUAAUACAUUUUUCCAUAUCAAUCCACAUGCAAAUCAAUUUCAAUGCAAUAUACAUUUUUCAGUUUUCCACUCAAUAUUCACAUAUUCUAUUCAAUAUCAAUAAUCACUAAUAAUUCAUAAAUUUUUUAUUCAAUUCAAUAUCAUAAUAAUAAUACUUACCAUUCAUAUAAAUAAUAAAUUCAACAAAUAAUUAUUAGAUUUGGUUUAUAAAAAUACAAACCGUAGUUUUCAAGCUAACUCCUGUUGUCUUUGUCUUGUCCUUACUUAGUCGAGAUUUCCCGAGAUAACGUUAGCUACGAAAAUUAAAAUAAUUAUACCAUUAACUUUCAGCACUCAUUAUAACAAUUAAUUGAAUUUCUAUUCAAUUUACACCUUAUUUCCAAUUUAGGUCCUAACUAAUUCAUUCACUUUACUAACUUAAUUCAUUCUCCAUUUCUAUUCAAAUUCCAUCCAAACUCAAAUUUAAUUAUUAAAUUUUCACCUUAUCUCAUUAAUUUCGAAAUUUCCUCAAAUUAACCCCUACAACAUAAAACUUAUGAAUUACUUAACAAUUCAAUCCUUAUUUCAUUUCUAACUUGAAUUUCUAUCAAUUUAGCCCUUAAUUCAUCAUUUUAUUUAACAUAAACAAUAUUUAGAAAUCUAAUAAUUUUAAAAAUCUUAAUUUAAUUUCAUCAAAACUUUGUUCCAAAGCUUCUAAAACAUUAAAAUUAAGUAAAAAUGGCUAAAUUGACUUACCUAUUAAACUUCCAAGCUUCAAAAUCCCUAUUUUCCAUUUUUUCCUUUCUUUUUCUCCUUCCUUUCUUCUCUAUUUCUUUCUAUUCUUUUUCUUUUUCUUUUACUUUGUUCUAUUUUAUAUAUAAUAAUAAUAAUAAUAACUUACAUAAUAAGUAAAUAUACAUGUAUUUUACAAAUGUAGAUAUACUAAUAUUACACAUGUCACUAUACAUACCAUACAUUUGUCAACUUUUUAUUUAUUUUUCACAUAAAAAUCUUAUAAUAUAAUUAUUUAAUUAAUAAAUAUAUUUUAUAAAUAAUAAAUAUAUAUUAAUACUUAAAUACAAGCAUUACAAGUGUAUGUAUUUUUAUUAAUACACUUGUACCCAAUCAUUACCACACAUUUGUCUUACUUUUAUUUAUUUAUCAUAUAAUAUCAAUUUAAUAAUAAUAAAUACAUUAAUAUUUACUUAAAUAAUAAGCAAAUACAUACAUAUAUUACAAAUGUGUGUAUUAUAUUUAUUACACUUGUAGACACUUGGCACUCUUUUUGGCUUAUUUACUCAUUUAGUCCCUUCAAUUUUUUUAUUCUAUAAUUAAACUUUCACACUAUAUUCAAUUUAAUCCUUUUAUCCAAUUAUCCUUAAUUUAAGCUAAUUCACUUAAUUAAACUCUAAUUAAUCACUCAAUUAACUUCGUAAAUAUUUAUUACGAAUCCAUUUUUUAGAAACGGAGACCUGAAAAUAUACUUUUCCGGUAACGGUAAAAUUCAGGUCAUUACAUCAUUGAUGUGAAGAUAGAAUUAAAUUGGGAGAUGGAAAAGGAAGAGAUGUACUGGGAGCAGAGGGCGAGAUCGAAUUAGCUUAGCUAAGGGGACAGAAAUACGGCUUUCUUCCAUAGUCAAGCGUCCCAAAGAUGCAGAAUAAAUCGUAUCCGAGGGAUGGAGGAUAAAGAAGGUAUUCUCAAAACGGAAAGAAGAAGAUAUGGAAAUCAUAAUAAGGAGCUACUUUAUGAAGCUAUUCGAAUCUAAAGGAGUUGGUAAUACAAAUCACCUACUCUUAGGUUUUCGCUGCAGUAUUUCUGACAGUAUGGAUCAAAUGCUGGCUAAAGAUUAUAAAGAGGAGGAAAUUUUUGAAGCAAUAAAUAGUAUAGGGUCGACAAAAGCUUCUAGACUUGAUGGAUUUUCUGCAAUCUUCAUUGAAAAAUUUUGGCAUAUUAUAGGGAGGGAGGUAAGUGAUUUUUGCUUGGAAGUUCUUAAUAAAGGAAAAUCUCUUGAUCUUUUAAACCAUACGAAUAUCGUGCUAAUCCUAAAGAAUCCCACCCAAAAAGCCCAUCAGAAUUUAGACCAAUUAGCAUUUGCUCCGUCUUUUAUAAAAUAAUUUCAAAAUCUAUAGCAAACAGACUACAGAAAGUACUUGAUUUUUGCAUCGAUCCAGCUUAAAGCGCCUUUGUAUCGGGUGGAUUAAUUACAAAUAAUGUUCUUCUUGCAUAUGAAAUUCUACAAUCUAUGAAGAAUAAAAGGAUGGGGAAAAAAGGUCUGAUGGCUCUUAAGAUUGAUAUGAGCAAAGCCUAUGAUCGGGUGGAAUGGAAUUUCUUGGAACAAAUGAUGGCUAAAAUGGGAUUUUAUGAGUCUUGAAUUUAGCUUAUUAUGAGAUGCAUCAGUACGGUUUCGUAUUCAAUCAUUUUGAAUGGAAAGUCAGGGGAAGUGUUUCGUCCAGAGAGAGGCCUACAUCAAGGGGACCCUUUGAGUCCUUUUCUGUUCCUUAUAUACAGUGAGGGACUGUCUACAUUAUUAAGACUUGCAAGCGAGGAAGGAAUGCUGAAAGGAAUAAAGGCGAGUAGACGAGGCCCUCAGAUUACUCGCCUUCUUUUUGUAGAUGAUUGCGUGCUGUUUGGGGAAGCAAAUGAAAAAGGUGCAAAAACUUUUGGAAAGAUCUUAAAAGAGUACGAAGCCUGUUCGGGACAAUCCAUUAAUUAUGGAAAGUCAACAGUUUUCUUUAGCUCAAACACAACUGAAAUGAUUUGUUUAGCUAUCUCAAAUAAAUUGAGGGUGAAACGAACGAAUAACACAGAAAAAUAUCUGGGCUUGCCAAAUAUGGUGGGAAAGAGGAAAAGGUUAGCAUUCCAACACCUUAAAGAUCGAAUUAAAGCAAAAAUUAACUGUAGGAGUUCUCAAUUACUAUUGCAAGGGGAAAAGAAGUUUUCAUUAAAUCUGUGCUACAAGCAAUUCCAGCAUAUACAAUGGGAUGUUUUUUAUUACCGAAGUCAGUAUGCGUUGAUAUGGAACAAAUUAUAGCCAAGCAUUGGUGGUAAAAAGGGUUCGGGAGAAGGGGGAUACAUUGGUAGUCAUGGAAUAACUUAUGUGAAUUAAAUGAAUUCAGUGGUCUUGGUUAUUGUAAUUUUGCAAAUUUUAAUUUAGCCCUCUUCGCUAAGCAAGGAUGGCGAUUAAUUGAAAACCCCAAUUCUCUUUUAGCACAGAUGUUAAAGGCCAAAUAUUAUUUGAAUACUGAUUUUCUAAACUCAAAGCUAGGAAACUUACCUUCAUAUACUUGGAAAAUUAUAUGGGCUGCAAAAGGCCUUUUGCGGACUGGAUUAUGUUGGAGGGUGGGAAACGGCCGAAAUAUAAGUAUUGAAGAGGAUGUCUGGGCUCCGAAGGAUGAAAAUCUACAUAUUCAAAAAAUAGUAAGAAAUCAGAAUUUAUUGAAGGUAGCAGACCUAAUUGAUAGCAAUGCUAGAUCAUGGAAAACAGAGUUGAUUACAGAUACCUUUUCCGUAGAAGAUGCUCAGAGAAUACUCCAAAUCCCGCUUGCUCACUCCCGAUAGGACAACUUUAUGGCUUGGAGAGGCGAACCAACAGGCGAAUAUACAGUCCAAAGUGGGUACAGAUUACUCUUUCGAGGCAAUUCCAUCAAUAAUAAUAGAUACAAGCCAAAUGAAAACAGGAAAUGUUGCAAAAAAAUGUGGAAUAGUGACCUCCCCUCAAAAUUAAAAAUUAGAGCCUGGAGAGCCACUCUAAACUACCUUCCUACACUAUCAAAUCUACGCAUUAAAAGACUAGCUAAUGACGCCGUCUGCCCGAGAUGUCAGCAAGGUGUGGAGAAUAUGGAUCACGUCUUUCGAGAAUGCGCUACUUCAAGGGAAACAUGGAAUAGCUUAAAAUAUGACUGGCCUGAAAGAAUAGCAAAUCUGAAAUUUAUGGAAUGGUUUACUUGGAUCAUGCUAAGCAGCAGUACUGAUAUCUGUCGAUCAUUUCUAUGCACCAUUUGGGUUAUCUAGUCGGCUAGAAACAAAUGGAUUCACGAGGGUAAGAAAAUGUCAGGGACAGAGACGGCAAGAUUCAGCUUACAGUACUUACAAGAACUAAAUAACAUUAAAUGGGAAAAACUUGCCUUUAGCCCGAUAAGUGCAGAAUGGAGGCCUCCGAUUCAAGGUAUCUACAAAAUCAAUUUCGAUGCAGCAGUGGACCUUAAAACACAAAGGUCAUGUUCGGGACUCAUAGUCAGAGACUGGAAAGGGAAAAUCCUAGCCACAAAAACCAUAAAUCAUGAGAAUAUACCUUCGAGGUUUGCAGCCGAGUCUGUUGCAUGUUUACAGGCAGUUAUCUUAGGAAGGGAUCUAGGAUUAAAGUUUGUUGACAUUGAAGGGGAUUUUUUGACAGUGAUAAAAAAAGCUCAAACUAAGAGCAUAGACAAGUCGGUAAUCGGCGUAGACAUUCAAGACAUUCAAGAAAUGUGCAAGAUUUUCUAUGAAAGUAAGUUCAUUUAUGUACGAAGAAAAGCAAACGAACAAGCGCAUGAUCCGGUAUCAAAAGGCUUAAAAAUGGUAGAAAAGACUUACAUUAUUCACAGACCAGUUGCUGAGGGCGUCACAGAGGUAGAAAUUGAUCGAGGAUGGGGGUGAAGAAUUCCAACAGGUGGAUGAUUUAGAGAAGGAACCCUAAUGAAUACCAGUCUUUUGUCCUUCUCCAAGAGCUGUAAAUGAAAAUGAAGAUAUUUUAAGAAGAUUUUUAGGAAAUAACAGCUCAUUAAUGUUGGGUUGUCUUUUCAUGUCUUUUAUUAUUUUUGUUUUGCAAAGAGUGGCAGGCCCUUCG
RNAcentral lists this long non-coding RNA (5094 nucleotides) under Gossypium barbadense (sea-island cotton). RNAcentral's name for it is "long non-coding RNA (GBAR_LNC005035)". The record is from RNAcentral. Lineage: Eukaryota; Viridiplantae; Streptophyta; Magnoliopsida; Malvales; Malvaceae.